Molecule: unclassified non-coding RNA, 252 nt
Filed under: Rhizophagus prolifer
Lineage: Eukaryota; Fungi; Glomeromycota; Glomeromycetes; Glomerales; Glomeraceae
Description: partial contains 5.8S ribosomal RNA and internal transcribed spacer 2
Rfam family: 5.8S ribosomal RNA (bases 1-65)
Source: RNAcentral
GUGAAUCAUCGAAUCUUUGAACGCAAAUUGCACUCUCCUCGGAGAGUAUGCCUGUUUGAGGGCCAGCCUAUAAAAAAUCGACAUCGUUUCUGUUUCGCGGUGUCGUUCGUUGGAAAUUGGGUCCUCUUAAAUCCUUUUGGUUUUAAGUGAUUUAAAAUUUUCUUUUUGGUUCCAUGAACGUUUCUAAGAUUUAUUUCUUUACACGUUUAAGGUAUCGAUUUUUAUUAGACGUGACCAUCAUAUCGGAUCGCA